CCGCACAAGCGGUGGAGCAUGUGGUUAAUUCGAUGAUACGCGAGGAACCUUACCUGGGCUCAAAUGUAUGUUGACGUAUUCUGAAAGGGAUACUUCUUCGGACAAUAUACAAGGUGCUGCAUGGUUGUCGUCAGCUCGUGCCGUGAGGUGUCGGGUUAAGUCCCAUAACGAGCGCAACCCCUAUCAUUAGUUGCCAUCAGGUCAAGCUGGGGACUCUAAUGAAACUGCCUACGCAAGUAGUGAGGAAGGUGGGGAUGACGUCAAAUCAGCACGGCCCUUACGUCCAGGGCUACACACGUGCUACAAUGGCCGGUACAAAGGGCAGCUACCUGGUGACAGGAUGCUAAUCUCAAAAGCCGGUCUCAGUUCGGAUCGGAGUCUGCAACCCGACUCCGUGAAGCUGGAAUCGCUAGUAAUCGUGAAUCAGAAUGUCACGGUGAAUACGUUCCCGGGCCUU
RNAcentral lists this ribosomal RNA (457 nucleotides) under uncultured Sphingobacteriales bacterium. RNAcentral describes it as "bacterial SSU rRNA". It matches the Rfam family "Bacterial small subunit ribosomal RNA", at positions 921 to 1382 of the family's 1533-position model. The record is from RNAcentral. Lineage: Bacteria; Pseudomonadati; Bacteroidota; Sphingobacteriia; Sphingobacteriales.